UCCGGACACCGUCCCCCACUUACCUUGACAUUAAUCGUCGAUAAUUUAUGUCAAAGUAAGUGGGGGAGAGAGAUAGUCGCUAACAGCGACGGGGAGUAAGCAUUUCUGUUUGUGUGUUGUGUCUUCCGUUUACGCGGAAGGUGCAGCUUUAAUCGAACAUCAAGUGACCAAGCCCACGGACAGUGCAACAGAAACAUACCGCCGAUCCCCCACUUACUUUGGCAUGAAUUGGUUUUGAUGGUAGAUAAAAAUGCGAGAGAUUUAUGCCAAGGUAAGUGGGGGAGGCAAGGGUUAAAUCGUGAGGUAAGAGCUCACGCAGGACAGCCCGGUGACGGGCGCUGGGGAAAACACCUAUCCGGUGCAAGGCCAAAAACAGCCGCUUGAGGUUUUGAGCAAUCAAAAUCCUAGAUAGAUGACUACCGCUUGCCCAAUCAAAAGUUGGGCAAGGCACAGAAUCCGGCUUACAGUUACUCGGAUAAA
This 480-nucleotide RNase P RNA is filed under the name Candidatus Falkowiibacteriota bacterium. RNAcentral's name for it is "RNase P RNA component class A". It matches the Rfam family "Bacterial RNase P class A". Rfam says of the family: Ribonuclease P (RNase P) is a ubiquitous endoribonuclease, found in archaea, bacteria and eukarya as well as chloroplasts and mitochondria. Its best characterised activity is the generation of mature 5'-ends of tRNAs by cleaving the 5'-leader elements of precursor-tRNAs. Cellular RNase Ps are ribonucleoproteins. The record is from RNAcentral. Lineage: Bacteria; Candidatus Falkowiibacteriota.